Long non-coding RNA from Gavialis gangeticus (Gharial), 117 nucleotides. RefSeq lists it as uncharacterized. The transcript is spliced from 3 exons. NCBI's taxonomy places the organism in Eukaryota, Metazoa, Chordata, Crocodylia, Gavialidae. The record is from RefSeq and is a predicted model, not a curated record.
CUGCAUGUGCCUGAAUAAAAAAUGUCAAGAUUUGAUCUCUCUAUCAGGAGAUCAUGAGUCAGAGUUAAUUUGACUUGGAAAUCAGGAGUCUUGUGACUUUUUACCUGAGAGUUGGCA